RNAcentral lists this ribosomal RNA (915 nucleotides) under Hanseniaspora vineae. RNAcentral describes it as "LSU rRNA". It matches the Rfam family "Eukaryotic large subunit ribosomal RNA", at positions 34 to 966 of the family's 3401-position model. The record is from RNAcentral. Lineage: Eukaryota; Fungi; Ascomycota; Saccharomycetes; Saccharomycodales; Saccharomycodaceae.
UUAAGCAUAUCAAUAAGCGGAGGAAAAGAAACCAACCGGGAUUGCCUCAGUAACGGCGAGUGAAGCGGCAAAAGCUCAAAUUUGAAAUCUGGCACUUUCAGUGUCCGAGUUGUAAUUUGUAGAAGUAGUUUUGGGGCUGGUCCUUGUCUAUGUUCCUUGGAACAGGACGUCAUAGAGGGUGAGAAUCCCGUGUGGCGAGGAUCCCAGUUCUUUGUAAAACGCUUUCGAAGAGUCGAGUUGUUUGGGAAUGCAGCUCUAAGUGGGUGGUAAAUUCCAUCUAAAGCUAAAUAUUGGCGAGAGACCGAUAGCGAACAAGUACAGUGAUGGAAAGAUGAAAAGAACUUUGAAAAGAGAGUGAAAAAGUACGUGAAAUUGUUGAAAGGGAAGGGCAUUUGAUCAGACAUGGUGUUUGGACGCCCUGCGCUCCUUGUGGGUGCAGGACACGCUUUUCACUGGGCCAACAUCGGUUUUGGCAGCAGGAUAAAUCGUUAGGAACGUAGCUGCCCUCGGGUAGUGUUACAGCCUGGCGGAAUACUGCUAGCCGGGACUGAGGACUGCGUCUUUUGACAAGGAUGUUGGCAUAAUGGUUAAAUGCCGCCCGUCUUGAAACAUGGACCAAGGAGUCUAACGUCUAUGCGAGUGUUUGGGUGUAAAACCCGUACGCGUAAUGAAAGUGAACGUAGGUGAGGGCCCCUUUAGGGGUGCAUCAUCGACCGAUCCUGAUGUCUUCGGAUGGAUUUGAGUAAGAGCAUAGCUGUUGGGACCCGAAAGAUGGUGAACUAUGCCUGAAUAGGGUGAAGCCAGAGGAAACUCUGGUGGAGGCUCGUAGCGGUUCUGACGUGCAAAUCGAUCGUCGAAUUUGGGUAUAGGGGCGAAAGACUAAUCGAACCAUCUAGUAGCUGGUUCCUGCCGAUU